UACGUAGGGGGCAAGCGUUGUCCGGAAUUAUUGGGCGUAAAGCGCGCGCAGGCGGUUAUUUAAGUUGGGUGUUUAAUCCCGGGGCUCAACCUCGGGUCGCACCCAAAACUGGAUAACUUGAGUGCAGAAGAGGAGAGUGGAAUUCCACGUGUAGCGGUGAAAUGCGUAGAUAUGUGGAGGAACACCAGUGGCGAAGGCGGCAUCCUGGACCGGUAUUGACGCUGAGGCGCGAAAGCCAGGGGAGCAAACGGG
This 252-nucleotide ribosomal RNA is filed under the name uncultured bacterium. RNAcentral's name for it is "partial 16S ribosomal RNA". It matches the Rfam family "Bacterial small subunit ribosomal RNA", at positions 524 to 776 of the family's 1533-position model. The record is from RNAcentral.